This 486-nucleotide ribosomal RNA is filed under the name Triticum aestivum (bread wheat). RNAcentral's name for it is "partial small subunit ribosomal RNA". The record is from RNAcentral. Lineage: Eukaryota; Viridiplantae; Streptophyta; Magnoliopsida; Poales; Poaceae.
AUGAGACGGUGCGCGACGCGUGCCACGGCGACGGACGGCUGUGGUACACGCGAACUCAGUUCACCUAAAGCGAAGGCCGGUACGGCGCGUGUCCCCAGUGUUGACUACAAGCAUCUCCGACGACGUGCCGUCGGCGGCUGCCGUGGCUCUCGUCGUGCACGAAGCAGAGUACCUCCCCGCAGCCAGGUCUUCGUGUCGUUCCGGAUGCUGAGCUGGCAUGGCCUGGAGCUCAGCGCCGGCGUCGCCAGGGAAAUCAUGGAACAGCGGUGGCGCGUCGACAAGGACAAGCAACUCGGGGGCCACCUGCGGUGGCACUGCGAGGAGAUAGCACUCAACGGUGGCGGUGGCCUGACAUUGCACGCCAAGUGCUCGAUUAAAUGUCUACUGCAACGAGAGUGGGGAUAUAAUGAAGAAGAUGACGAGGUGGAUGUCAAUUUAGCCAGCUCUGGUCAAAACCAUGUUGAGUCGGCAUGGAAACUGCUUUAA